GCCGCAUCCGGGACAGUUUCCACUCUCCCCCGAGAUAAGAAUUUUCUGUCAGUGAAGUGUUGUCGACGCCCAGUUACUCAUAACAGAGGCAACAAUCAAAAUGCAGACGAUAAAGUGUGUUGUGGUAGGCGAUGGAGCCGUGGGUAAAACUUGCCUGUUGAUAUCAUAUACUACUAAUAAAUUCCCAUCGGAGUACGUGCCUACGGUCUUCGACAACUAUGCCGUCACCGUCAUGAUUGGUGGCGAACCUUAUACCUUAGGACUAUUUGACACAGCAGGUCAGGAGGAUUACGACCGACUGCGGCCUUUAAGUUACCCACAGACGGAUGUAUUCCUUGUUUGCUUCUCGGUUGUAUCUCCAUCAUCUUUUGAAAAUGUUAAAGAAAAGUGGGUGCCUGAAAUAACGCAUCACUGUCAGAAAACACCAUUUUUGUUGGUCGGCACGCAAAUUGACUUGCGGGACGAUGCAGCAACUAUCGAAAAGCUUGCGAAGAAUAAGCAGAAACCGAUUACAGGGGAACAAGGUGAAAAACUCGCAAAAGAACUAAAGGCAGUCAAGUAUGUCGAAUGCAGUGCCCUCACACAGAAAGGGCUAAAGAACGUGUUCGACGAAGCAAUACUCGCAGCGCUAGAGCCUCCGGAACCAGUCAGAAGAAGAAGGUGCGUCAUCUUGUAGGAGGCUUCCAUGAGCCCUCCUCUAAUCGUGAAAGAAUUGGCUUGUCACGCCCUACAUUGUGACAAAGCACAAUGCCGGAUAUACAGACUUUUUUCGCACGACCGUGUUUUUUAUAUAGAGUAUGUAUAUUAUACGAAUUGUACAAUUAGUGGAACUGAAUUUUAUUUAAUUUGGAUAGUCACGUUGUGCCCAGUGCACGCCGAUAAGAGGUCCGAUAUUACACUAAUAUUAAAUUUAUAAGAAAUUUUUCACGAAAA
RNAcentral lists this unclassified non-coding RNA (933 nucleotides) under Orussus abietinus. RNAcentral describes it as "cdc42 homolog, transcript variant X1". The record is from RNAcentral. Lineage: Eukaryota; Metazoa; Arthropoda; Insecta; Hymenoptera; Orussidae.